AACUAAAGGGGGAUUGAUUUUGGACGAAUUUUGAAAACAAAACAAAACUUUGUAGAUUGAAAAGACUCUAAAACGAAUUUGGUUUAAAUGGAUGGAUGGAAGGCUAGCUAAGGAGUUCAUCUCCACACAUGUCACACCUGCAUAUAAAACGAUCUCUAAUUGCUUUUCAAUAAACCAUGAAUUCCCAACGCCCCAAGUUAAUUAGGUCCGCUUAAAUUAACCUUCAGAUUUUCCUAAUGUUAUUGAAUUGGAUGAUUGCAUACGACAACCCAAAACAUUCCCCACAAGUCCCCUACAUGAUUGCAUAAU
RNAcentral lists this long non-coding RNA (309 nucleotides) under Malus domestica (apple). Its description in RNAcentral is "long non-coding RNA (MDOM_LNC018160)". Lineage: Eukaryota; Viridiplantae; Streptophyta; Magnoliopsida; Rosales; Rosaceae. The record is from RNAcentral.